AAUACGGGGAGGGCAAGCGUUGCCCGGAAUCACUGGGCUUAAAGGGGAUGUAGGCGGUCGGGUGUGUCGGAUGUGUAAUCCAUGUUUUCAACGGAUGGGCUGCGUCCGAAACUACCCGACUAGAGGGCACCAGAGGGGAGCGGAACUCACGGUGUAGCGGUGAAAUGCGUGGAUAUCGUGGGGAACGCCAGUGGGGAAGCCGGCUCCCUGGGGUGUCCCUGACGCUGAGGUCCGAAAGUUGGGGGAGCGAAGGGGAUUAGAUACCCCCGUAGUCCCAGCCGUAAACGAUGCGGGCUAGCCGUGGGUUCCCGUUAGGGAAUCCGUGGCGCAGGGAAACCGGUAAGCGUUUCGCCUGGGGAGUACGCUCGCAAGGGU
This 375-nucleotide ribosomal RNA is filed under the name uncultured bacterium. RNAcentral describes it as "bacterial SSU rRNA". It matches the Rfam family "Bacterial small subunit ribosomal RNA", at positions 522 to 895 of the family's 1533-position model. The record is from RNAcentral.